Molecule: small nuclear RNA, 107 nt
Organism: Dipodomys ordii (Ord's kangaroo rat)
Lineage: Eukaryota; Metazoa; Chordata; Mammalia; Rodentia; Heteromyidae
Source: Ensembl
GUGCUCGCUUCGGCAGCACAUAUACUAAAAUUGGAAUGAUACAGAGAAGAUUAGCAUGGCCCCUGCACAAGGAUGACACACAAAUUCAUGAAGCGUUCCAUAUUUAA